UAGCCUCCCGUAGUCCCGUCCCGUCCCCCCACGAAAUUGGCCAAUCAAUCAAACAUUCAGGCAAUCAAUCGAUUCAAUUUGGAACCCGAGCGUCAAUCAAUCCACCGGUCUCAUUCCCCUCCCCAUCGGCGUGGUGCUUGAGUGGCGGGCCGGUGGUCGGGUUCGGCGGGGCCUGGCAGAACGACACUCGGACGAAGCGCUGCUGUGCUCGAGGUGUGAGCAGCCGGGAGGAGGAGCUCCGGCCACCUCCCACCUGUUCCCAUCCGCGGCCGUUUCUUGCACGCGCGCGGUGACCGGCAUUAGGUGUGCGGCUGCGGGAGCCAUGGCUUCGCUAUCGCCAGGAGUAGGUGUUCUGAUGGAUUAGAUUAUCCUGUUGCCUUCUGAUUCCUCUCGUGUACAGAGAGGCACAUUCAUGGAAGUUCAGGUUAUAACUGCAUGUUUCAGUUCUUUCAGCACACCUUUAAGUUUAUGGAUUAGGUUUAGAGCAUUCCUGGUGGCUAUUGGAUCAUAUAUGAGUUGGAUGGCACCUGGGCAGCAGGCUAACUAGCCAGCCAGCGUUUGCUGCGGAGCAACUAAGCAGCGUGACAGGGUCGAACCCCGGCUACCCGCACGUCAGGAGGGUCAGGUGUACAGACGGAGGGGGCCGCCCCUCGAACCUCACUCGAGGCAGACGGAGCAGCGGGUCAGUAGCAGGAGCACUCCGCUCGGCACCAUUUGCAGACCUAGUCACGGUACUUUAUUUGUUCCCCAGGCAGUCGUUCAUGGAUCAGACAGUCACCGAGAGGGAGGCUGAUGAUGGGAAGGGUUACUUCAUCUCGUGGAUCUGGUGUAAGGCAAGCCUCUGUGCAUGAUUUUAUCGUACUAUUACUAAGAGUGUCAUAUCAGCU
Molecule: long non-coding RNA, 887 nt
Organism: Setaria italica (foxtail millet)
Lineage: Eukaryota; Viridiplantae; Streptophyta; Magnoliopsida; Poales; Poaceae
Exons: 4
Source: RefSeq, a predicted model, not a curated record